This 936-nucleotide ribosomal RNA is filed under the name Bondarzewia retipora. Its description in RNAcentral is "eukaryotic LSU rRNA". It matches the Rfam family "Eukaryotic large subunit ribosomal RNA", at positions 42 to 961 of the family's 3401-position model. The record is from RNAcentral. Lineage: Eukaryota; Fungi; Basidiomycota; Agaricomycetes; Russulales; Bondarzewiaceae.
AUCAAUAAGCGGAGGAAAAGAAACUAACAAGGAUUCCCCUAGUAACUGCGAGUGAAGCGGGAAAAGCUCAAAUUUAAAAUCUGACGGUCUCCGGCCGUCCGAGUUGUAGUCUGGAGAAGCGUUUUCCGCGUCGGCCCGUGUACAAGUUUCCUGGAACGGAGCGUCAUAGAGGGUGAGAAUCCCGUCUCUGACACGGACCGCCGAUGCUUUGUGAUGCGCUCUCGAAGAGUCGAGUUGUUUGGGAAUGCAGCUCAAAAUGGGUGGUGAAUUCCAUCUAAAGCUAAAUAUUGGCGAGAGACCGAUAGCGAACAAGUACCGUGAGGGAAAGAUGAAAAGCACUUUGGAAAGAGAGUUAAACAGUACGUGAAAUUGUUGAAAGGGAAACGCUUGAAGUCAGUCGCGUCCGCCGGGACUCAGCCUUGCAAUCUUGCUUGGUGUACUUUCUGGUGGACGGGCCAGCAUCAAUUUUGGUCGCCGGACAAAGGCUGGAGAAAUGUGGCACCUUCGGGUGUGUUAUAGUCUCUGGUCGCAUACGGCGGUCGGGAUUGAGGAACUCAGCAUGCCUUUUAUGGUCGGGGUUCGCCCACGUUCAUGCUUAGGAUGCUGGCGUAAUGGCUUUAAACGACCCGUCUUGAAACACGGACCAAGGAGUCUAACAUGCCCGCGAGUGUUCGGGUGGAAAACCCGUGCGCGUAAUGAAAGUGAAAGUUGGGACCUCUGUCGUGGAGGGCACCGACGCCCGGACCAGAACUUCUGUGACGGAUCUGCGGUAGAGCGUGUAUGUUGGGACCCGAAAGAUGGUGAACUAUGCCUGAAUAGGGUGAAGCCAGAGGAAACUCUGGUGGAGGCUCGUAGCGAUUCUGACGUGCAAAUCGAUCGUCAAAUUUGGGUAUAGGGGCGAAAGACUAAUCGAACCAUCUAGUAGCUGGUUCCUGC